Molecule: microRNA precursor, 116 nt
Filed under: Myotis davidii
Lineage: Eukaryota; Metazoa; Chordata; Mammalia; Chiroptera; Vespertilionidae
Description: mir-9193 microRNA precursor family
Rfam family: mir-9193 microRNA precursor family
Source: Rfam by way of RNAcentral
CAUGCACCAGUGGGGUCCCUCGGCCUGGCCUGCGGGAUCUGGCUGAAACCAGCUCACCAACAUCCCCCAGAUUGCAAGAGAAUGCAGGCCAGGCCAAGGGACCCCACCGGUGCACG